This 234-nucleotide unclassified non-coding RNA is filed under the name Cistella sp. RNAcentral describes it as "partial internal transcribed spacer region". The stretch from base 1 to 46 matches the Rfam family "Eukaryotic small subunit ribosomal RNA", at positions 1786 to 1831 of the family's 1831-position model. Lineage: Eukaryota; Fungi; Ascomycota; Leotiomycetes; Helotiales. The record is from RNAcentral.
AAGUCGUAACAAGGUUUCCGUAGGUGAACCUGCGGAAGGAUCAUUACUGAGUUCAUGCCCUUACGGGUAGAUCUCCCACCCUUGAAUAUCUAAACCUUUGUUGCUUUGGCAGGCCGCUUCGGCUACCGGCUCCGGUUGGUGAGUGCCCGCCAGAGAACCUUAAACUCUGAAUUACAGUGUCGUCUGAGUACUAUAAAAUAGUUAAAACUUUCAACAACGGAUCUCUUGGUUCUG